UCUCCGUUGGUGAACCAGCGGAGGGAUCAUUACAGAGUUCCACAACUCCCAACCCCUGCGAACCGUACCCCAUUUUGUUCUCGUUGCCUCCUGGCGGCGGGCCCCCGGCGCCACCGCCGGCCCCCCCGCCACCGCCGGCGAGCGCCCUGAACCUUUUUUUCUCAACCAUCCCGUCUUCGCAAACCAACAAAUGAAUCAAAACUUUCAACAACGGAUCUUUUUGUUCCGGCAUCGAUGCAGAACGCUGCAGUACGGAAGAGCAAACGCCUGAACUCCAAC
RNAcentral lists this unclassified non-coding RNA (279 nucleotides) under plant metagenome. RNAcentral describes it as "partial contains small subunit ribosomal RNA, internal transcribed spacer 1, and 5.8S ribosomal RNA". The record is from RNAcentral.